Tyto alba (common barn owl) is the source of this 3483-nucleotide long non-coding RNA. RefSeq lists it as uncharacterized. The transcript has 2 exons. NCBI's taxonomy places the organism in Eukaryota, Metazoa, Chordata, Aves, Strigiformes, Tytonidae. The record is from RefSeq and is a predicted model, not a curated record.
UUUGGAGCUGGCGCGGGCUGCGGUAAGGGGGUCCCAAAGGACCUGCCAGCAGAUCAGAGGGUCUUUGCUGGGUCCCUUGAGUAAGACAGACCGUGAGGAUGGAAAAGCAGGACGCCUGAUAGCAGCACCGUGGGGAUGCUGAUGGGAGUUUUGUCAAGGGAAGGCUGAGAAGCCAGAGUGAUGACUGUGGUGUAAAGUUGACUAAUGCACGUUGACGGGCGUCAGAUUCAAACUAGCUGCCUAAAAUCCCGUUUUCGAGCAGUAACUGCUUGAUCAAGCCGUUCAGCACCAAGGGGAAGAAAAAAGCCCAAGCGGUGUGUUGGAUCAGAUACAGAUUUCCGAGAGUUCCUGGGAAGGAAGGGGCAAGGGAUGUUUGGGUUAGACAGAGCUGCAAAAUUAUAUUCCAGGCCUGUAGCAGCUGCACACACAAGCAAGCUUGCAGACGCUGUGGGAUCCAGAAUGAAAUGAGCCCUGCCAUCCCCGUGCUUCCUCAAGUAAUUAUUACAUGCGUUGCACCCUAAUGAGAACCUGCUCCAUUUUCUCAUCCCUCCACUCUGCUGCUCUUUCCUCAUGCUGCUGCUUCGGAGCUCUUCUUUGGAAAAACCAUCUGGCAAAGGGCUGAUAUUUUAUUUAAAAAAAAAAAAAAAAAAAAAAAAAAAAAGAGUAAUCUUUGGAAAUUAGUAGUUUUGCUGUGCGUUAUUAUGCUUACGAUCCUCUAAUUUGUUAAUAAGUCUCUAAUCAUAGCCAUGCAGAAUGAGAAGGAGAGCCAGCCAGGAAAGGUGCCCCUCGGGUUUUCCCAGUACGGCAGCCACAGCCCAUCGAUUCCACGACUGGUCCCCAGGCAGGGCGGGGAGGAGAUGGCCCUUCCAGCAGCGGCGGCGAGGACCUGCGUGAGACCCAGCGCUGACAGGAAUACGAAAUCAGCAAUUCCCAGCGCCGACGUCAGACCGAAGGAAUGUGACCACGUCCCGGUAAUGUAAAGCCGUUCUCGAAACGGAGUCAAACAUCGAUCACUGGUGCGAAACCCCUGAAACAAGAGACGUCGCCACGGGCAGCUCAGGGGAGUCGCUGCGUGACGGAGCCGUUCUGGACAGCAGGGCAAUGCGGGCCACGGAUUUUAAUGCAUCGUCAUCCUGGUUCAGGUUUUCUCAGUGUAGCAUAGGAAGGAGGACGGUCCGAGGGGCUCCUGGCCCGGUGGUCAGAUAGGUGGUAAAACCGUGUUUUACAGAUGUAAAGGGUGUCAGGGUGUUUCAGCUGGCCGGCCCCUUCCACCAGCUGUAGUAGGUAGAAAAUGUACGACGUUAAGAUUUAAAAAAAUGCUCGGAAGGGGGAGGGAAAAAACAAAACAAAACAAAACAACAAAACAACAAAAUAAAUAAAGCACAGGGAUGGGACGGGGUGGCAGACCCUCUCUCCAGCCUCUGUGACAGCAGCCUUGGACACCCAGCGCGGCGCCGGAGCUGCCGAGGAGCGGCGGGUGCAGGAGCCCGGCGGUGAGGCCGAGCCUGCGGUGGUUGUGGUGGCGGAGGAGCCCGGUGUCAGCGCUGGGAAAAGACAGACGAACGCUCAGAGCACCGCCUGACCCCUCGGGUCCCAUCCUCAGCCCCGCAGCGGGGCCGGCGCCGUACGUACUCCGGCAUUCCCGUGGGAGAUGAACCCGUGGAGGCACAAGACGAGUCUCGGACUCCUCUUCAGCCGGCGCGCGCGAGGGUGGGCGAGCGCUCGCCUCCGAGGCUGCACGUCAGCGCCGCUCCGCCGGCAGCCAGCGCCGGGGAGGAGGAGUGGGGGCGAGAUGCCUUUCUGCGGAAAGUGCUUCCGACGCCCACCCCGAAAAACCUCUGGGAUUGACGUGAUCUUUGCCACCUCAGAGUGAAAGGUGUGCGGUUGCUCGGGGCGCCGCAGGUACAGGUGGCACCGACCCCAGUCCUGGUAACAAACCUCGCCUGCACCGCGGCUACCUGCCGGCUGGCGCGCGGCUCUCCCCGGCGCGAAGGGGUAACCGAAACGCGCCGCCUCGCCUGCGAGCCCACGCCGCCGGGGGGGCUCUUUGCAUUUCAAACGGCGAGGCGAGCGGUUCAUAUUCGCGCCACGAUCAGCAGGCAUCUCCGAGGGCGAGCGCUGCCCUGCCACCGCGCGGGUUCUGCCUGCCAGCCUCGCCGCCUCGGCUGCAAUAUGGAAAUGAUCCUCCCCAGCAGACAGCAGAGUCCCACCUCGGUUCCCAUUCACCUGGAGAUGAAAGUGCUCUGGGUGCCCGUGUAGGCGGGGCAAAACUAUUUAAAAACCUCAUUAGAGAAAGUAUUUGGGGAAGACAGCAACACCCUCAGUUGUGGUUUGCUCCAGGACUUCUCAGCCAGAUCGCUUCUGAUACAGAGGGAAGGGCACUGUGAGAGACAUUCCUCUCAACUCGUACUUCUCGUAGGGAUGCCUGGGGUGCACUUUGCCCUUUGCUCUGUCCCGGUGGGCUGUAUUUUCCACGUAAACAUGAGCACGUUCCCCUCCAGGUGCUGUUUAGGUGAGGAGCCCGACUGCAGCGUGGCAUCGGGGUCCUGUUCCGCGCCGGAGGAACGCAGUCGGCAAAACUGUGUGUCGCCUCGGUUAGGCGCAAAUCCGCUGGGAAUAUUUCCCAUUCCGUUUCAUUCCCGAUUGUGCUUAUUUCAGCUGAAUUUGCAGCAGGAGUAAUGCCCAAGCCACAUCUGGCUCGUGAUGCACGUGGGAUCAGACCGGGAGUUUGGGAGGAGGUGGAUCUGGAUUCAGAGGUUUGGCUUCUUAUUUAGAAAAUGACUGGUUACAUUCUCCCACGGCUGCUCCAGACUACCCCAGAGCUUAAUGAUAUUCAUGUCCAAGUGUUUUUUAAGUCUGCAUGACUAGGAAACAAUCUCAUGUGUAUGGUUUGUCUAGCCUGUUACUAAGAAGCCCGUGCACCUGCAUUUCCCCUACCGCCUGCGUUUGCUUUGCGUCCCAUUUAUUCGAGGGGGUCAAAAGUUUGGUAAUUCCUAGUGAAUCGGGGUGCCAAUAAUCCCUUUUUUCUCUCCCAGCUGGGCUCCCCCACGGCCCCUCCUGAGCCCCAGCCGAGCUGCUGUGCUCUUCACCUCCGCCACCAGCCCUACCGCCGCCGCGAGUGGUAUUGACAGCUUGAACCAAGUCGUGUCCCCCCCCCCCCAAAAAAACUGAUCAGCCGGCGCCUGGCGUGAGCCUGCAGAUCACACAGACCUUGUCCAACGGGCUCGAGGUUCAGAGGUCAAGGUUUAACUCAUCUGUGUCCUGACGUGAACUGCAGGAGGAACAUCCCCCCUGGUCUCUUCUUCUGCCUGUUGCGGCUUUAUUUUAUUAUUAUUUUUAGGAGGGGUGUGUGUGUGUGUGUGUGUGUAAUUUUUUUAAUCCAGUUGAGAGAACUUUUUAUGUUAAUAUUUGACUCAGGUGUGAUGUCGUUUGGCUCUGUAGCCGUUACCUACAUCCCCCAGAAAGAAUAAAAUCUCCCCAGAC